GAUGAGAAGAGCUUGCUCUUCGAUUCAGCGGCGGACGGGUGAGUAAUGCCUAGGAAUCUGCCUGGUAGUGGGGGACAACGUUUCGAAAGGAACGCUAAUACCGCAUACGUCCUACGGGAGAAAGCAGGGGACCUUCGGGCCUUGCGCUAUCAGAUGAGCCUAGGUCGGAUCAGCUAGUUGGUGAGGUAAUGGCUCACCAAGGCGACGAUCCGUAACUGGUCUGAGAGGAUGAUCAGUCACACUGGAACUGAGACACGGUCCAGACUCCUACGGGAGGCAGCAGUGGGGAAUAUUGGACAAUGGGCGAAAGCCUGAUCCAGCCAUGCCGCGUGUGUGAAGAAGGUCUUCGGAUUGUAAAGCACUUUAAGUUGGGAGGAAGGGCAUUAACCUAAUACGUUAGUGUUUUGACGUUACCGACAGAAUAAGCACCGGCUAACUCUGUGCCAGCAGCCGCGGUAAUACAGAGGGUGCAAGCGUUAAUCGGAAUUACUGGGCGUAAAGCGCGCGUAGGUGGUUUGUUAAGUUGGAUGUGAAAGCCCCGGGCUCAACCUGGGAACUGCAUCCAAAACUGGCAAGCUAGAGUACGGUAGAGGGUGGUGGAAUUUCCUGUGUAGCGGUGAAAUGCGUAGAUAUAGGAAGGAACACCAGUGGCGAAGGCGACCACCUGGACUGAUACUGACAC
This 682-nucleotide ribosomal RNA is filed under the name uncultured Pseudomonadales bacterium. RNAcentral describes it as "bacterial SSU rRNA". It matches the Rfam family "Bacterial small subunit ribosomal RNA", at positions 68 to 746 of the family's 1533-position model. The record is from RNAcentral. Lineage: Bacteria; Pseudomonadati; Pseudomonadota; Gammaproteobacteria; Pseudomonadales.